Molecule: long non-coding RNA, 650 nt
Organism: Schistocerca nitens (vagrant locust)
Lineage: Eukaryota; Metazoa; Arthropoda; Insecta; Orthoptera; Acrididae
Exons: 3
Source: RefSeq, a predicted model, not a curated record
AGAUCAUUGUUCUACUGAUAAACGCUGUAGGAACUAGCGUGAGAAACUUUUAAGACAGUGUCAAUGCAAACGACGGGGAAUUUUGUAUCAUAAUAUGUUAAACUUUUUUCAUAGCACGGCAUCCACCAAAUUCGGAGGCCCCGUUAUACCUGCAGUCCAACUGGGAGGCCGAAUGCCUCUUUCAGACCUUCAAGAUGCAGAUGAAAAAGUGCAUUGGGGUGCUCUGGCAGAAGAGAUAUCCACAAGUUCUUAGAAGUCAACUCCUGUUUAUGAGAAGAUCAUAGUGGAACUGUUGCAUGAGCGCCAGCUGUGCACAGUGGUGCACCUUGUGCUGCUGGCCCGUCACCUACUACGUGCACCUCAAUUGCCACACUACACAGCAGUGUUUCAUGUCUGAGUUCUCGCCUUUGGCUGCUGUGAGCCGUGGGUUCUGGCAACUGUCCAUGGUGAGCGAGGAAGUUUCUGGCAAAAUGUUCCAGUGAUGUUCCACCCUCUCCCCCCCCCCCCCCCUCCCCCAAUCAGCGCCUGGCGGUGCGGGGCACUUCAUCUGAUACAGCCGGCAGCUGUUACCAGCGAGAACGUCGCUCCACCAUUAUUAAAAUUCUUUGAAUUUAUUUGUUAAAGAAUUGUAUCAUAAUAAAUGUUGUAAA